This 334-nucleotide ribosomal RNA is filed under the name uncultured bacterium. RNAcentral describes it as "partial 16S ribosomal RNA". It matches the Rfam family "Bacterial small subunit ribosomal RNA", at positions 338 to 669 of the family's 1533-position model. The record is from RNAcentral.
CCUACGGGAGGCAGCAGUGAGGAAUAUUGGUCAAUGGGCGCGAGCCUGAACCAGCCAAGUAGCGUGAAGGAUGACUGCCCUACGGGUUGGAAACUUCUUUGAUAAAGGAAUAAAGUGAGGCACGUGUGCCUUUUUGUAUGUACGGUAUGAAUAAGGAUAGGCUAACUCCGUGCCAGCAGCCGCGGUAAUACGGAGGAGCCGAGCGUUAUCCGGAUUUAUUGGGUUUAACGGGAGCGUAGAGGGGUUUUUAAGUCAGUGGUGAAAGUUUGCGGCUCACCCGUAAAAUUGCCUUUGAUACUGGCAGUCUUGCGUACAGUUGCGUUAGGCGGACUUC